AGUUAAGGAGCUUCUCUGAUAGAACUCUAGCACAUUGUUAAAUAAUUAUAUUGCUCUUCUGAUUGCCAGGCAACAGGGUGGAGGUCUGUUAAACUGUACAAUAGACAAGGCACUACAAGAAAUCCAGAUAGCAGCCAACAGAACUGGUUAUAAAAAGAUUAGAAGCUCUUGAAGUUAACCAAACAGAAGGAGCAGAUAACACAUAUCUGCAGGUUCUAAAGGCAUGAGCAAGGGAAGGGUGAACCUUAGGACUGCAGCCUACACAGCAUCAAAUGGAAGGCUGAAUCAAUGGGAAGAGUUACAACUUCUUAUUUCCUUCUCUGUCAAGAUCGGAGCAGAGGGAGCAGCCUAAGACGCUUAGGAGGCAGGCUGCUCAGGAAUUUCAUCAGCUCUUUCCUGCCCUAUCACCAUCCCCAGCAGAUUCAGCCUCGGCCACAGAGUCUGUUCAUCAUAGUGGUCCUGAUCCUAGUUAGAGCAUAUCUGCUGUCAAGAUUGUACAUAAUUGGAUGUCCACUUUUAAAUGCCUUCUCCAAAAAUGAACUGCAUGUAAAAUUGGGUCUGCAGAGCCUGACUUCUCAUCCCUCGCUCAGAUGUUGCCUAGUGUCUUGCAUCUGCUGUUGUCAUUUCCUUUAGGAAGCGUUGAAAAGAUAAAAAAGAG
This 658-nucleotide long non-coding RNA is filed under the name Vulpes vulpes (red fox). RNAcentral's name for it is "lncRNA (ENSVVUG00000015378.1)". Lineage: Eukaryota; Metazoa; Chordata; Mammalia; Carnivora; Canidae. The record is from RNAcentral.